This 414-nucleotide ribosomal RNA is filed under the name uncultured Candidatus Saccharibacteria bacterium. RNAcentral describes it as "bacterial SSU rRNA". It matches the Rfam family "Bacterial small subunit ribosomal RNA", at positions 958 to 1385 of the family's 1533-position model. Lineage: Bacteria; Candidatus Saccharimonadota. The record is from RNAcentral.
AACGCGAAGAACCUUACCAAGGCUUGACAUCCUGCGAAUCCGCUAGAAAUAGUGGAGUGCCUUCGGGAGCGCAGUGACAGGUGUUGCAUGGCCGUCGUCAGCUCGUGUCGUGAGAUGUUGGGUUAAGUCCCGCAACGAGCGCAACCCUUAUCGUAUGUUGAAUUUUUCAUACGAGACCGCCCGGGCCAACCGGGAGGAAGGUGGGGAUGACGUCAGGUCAGCAUGGCCCUUACGCCUUGGGCUACACACGUCAUACAAUGGCCGGUACAACGCGUUGCCAAAUCGCAAGAUGGAGCUAAUCGUACCAAAACCGGUCUCAGUUCGGAUUGCAGGCUGCAACUCGCCUGCAUGAAGUUGGAUUUGCUAGUAAACGUGGGUCAGCAUACCACGUUGAAUACGUUCCCGGGCCUUGUA